RNAcentral lists this transfer RNA (85 nucleotides) under Felis catus (domestic cat). It matches the Rfam family "tRNA". Rfam says of the family: Transfer RNA (tRNA) molecules are approximately 80 nucleotides in length. Their secondary structure includes four short double-helical elements and three loops (D, anti-codon, and T loops). Lineage: Eukaryota; Metazoa; Chordata; Mammalia; Carnivora; Felidae. The record is from Rfam by way of RNAcentral.
GCCUGGGUGGCUCAGUCGGUUAAGUGUCUGACUUCGGCUCAGGUCAUGAUCUUGUCGUUCAUGGGUUCAAGUCCUAUGUCAGGCU